Molecule: RNA transcript, 10531 nt
Organism: Schistocerca piceifrons (Central American locust)
Lineage: Eukaryota; Metazoa; Arthropoda; Insecta; Orthoptera; Acrididae
Gene: nmo
Gene name: serine/threonine-protein kinase NLK
Exons: 10
Source: RefSeq, a predicted model, not a curated record
UCUGGAGGGACGCAGUGCUUGGGGAGGUUGCGUGUUGCUGCGAGUGUUGUGAUGGUGCAUUACUGACAAGUGUGUGAUGGGUAGAAAGUUCUCAAAAACGAUAACUUUUGCGACGUUACGCAUAUUAAUGUGUGUAUUUUUCGUUCUGGAGAGUUCUAACAACACGAGAGAAGAUUCGCAUGAAUGAAGGACUCAGACAUGAAAGCAAGGGCAAGACUUCGACGAAUACCGUGUUAAAAUUAAUAGAGUAGUGAGUAGCAAUAUUUUGUGUCACGUAUUGGUGAAAUUAAUGUUCGUGAUUUAACGACAGAUGGAGUGAAGUGAUAUAUAUGUAAAUGAAUUGAAAAAGCAAGACAGGAAAAGGAAUGAGACAACGUGCAAAGAGGCUGCUGCAACACAUGUUUCGUACCGUUUACGUGGAAUCGUACGUCUUUGUACUUAAGGAGACGACGUUGAGGACUCAGCGUAUUAUUCAGAUGUGGCUGUGAUAUUGAAAAUCUUUUCUCUCUUUCUCCGCCAGUUGACAACACCAAGAACAGAAAAAUUCGUUCAAGAAUUUAAUUCUGAAGUUAUUCGAGCGAUUAAAGGAUUUCAUCGACGUACGAAGACAACCGACAAAAGACCAUUCUCGGGACGGAUAUUUCUGACCCGUGUUAGAUAGCAACUUCAUGGCUGUAGUUGGUCCUAGCAGACACUCCAGAGUGUCCAUGUCCGUGUCGAUGCCGCUCAUGCCUGGCGGGGGAGGAGGGGGAGGACACCAACAAGCCAUAUUAGCAGCUGCCCAGCCUUAUUACCACCCACAACAUUCUCACCAAACGCCAGCAACGCCUGCACAUUCUCACACACAGGAUGUGCAACCGGAUAGACCAAUCGGUUAUGGAGCUUUCGGAGUCGUUUGGGCGGUGACGGACCCGAGGGACGGGCGACGCGUCGCGCUCAAGAAGCUGCCCAACGUCUUCCAGUCGCUCGUCUCGUCCAAGCGCGUCUUCCGCGAGCUCAAGAUGCUCUGCUUCUUCAAGCACGAGAACGUGCUGUCCGCGUUGGACAUCCUCCAGCCGCCGCACCUGGACUUCUUCCAGGAAAUCUAUGUCAUCACGGAGCUCCUGCAGAGUGAUCUACACAAAAUAAUAGUAUCUCCCCAGCACCUGUCCGCCGACCACAUCAAAGUCUUCCUCUACCAGAUCCUCAGAGGUCUGAAAUACCUGCAUUCUGCACGCAUCUUGCACCGUGAUAUAAAACCGGGGAACCUACUUGUCAACAGCAAUUGUGUCCUCAAGAUCUGCGACUUCGGGUUGGCACGCGUAGAGGAGCCAGACCAGUCGAAGCACAUGACUCAGGAGGUGGUGACACAGUACUACCGGGCGCCUGAAAUACUGAUGGGCGCGCGACACUACUCCGCUGCCGUAGACGUCUGGAGCGUCGGCUGCAUCUUCGGGGAACUUCUUGGGCGACGCAUCCUCUUUCAAGCGCAGAGCCCAGUCCAACAGCUGGAGUUAAUAACGGAACUACUUGGCACACCGUCACUGGAAGACAUGCGGUACGCUUGUGACGGGGCACGAACCCACAUGCUGCGCCGUGCGCCCAAGCCGCCGUCCAUGGCUGCCCUGUACACCCUCUCCUCACAGGCCACGCAUGAGGCAGUGCACCUGCUGUGCCAGAUGCUGGUUUUUGACCCCGACAAACGAAUAACAGUUGGUGAUGCUCUGGCUCACCCAUACUUGGACGAGGGCCGCUUAAGAUACCACUCCUGCAUGUGCAAGUGUUGCUACACGACUCCGGGAGGCCUCAGGCAGUACACACCGGACUUCGAGCCUGUUGCACCCCACAGCUUUGAUGAUCUGUGGGAGAAGAAGCUGACUUCUGUUCAGCAGGUCAAAGAGGAAAUGCACAAGUUUAUUGCAGAACAACUGAAUACCAGUAGAGUCCCGUUGUGCAUUAAUCCUCAAUCUGCAGCUUUCAAGAGUUUUGCCAGGUAAGGCUGCAACCACAGCCACAAGAGGCAAACAUCUGGAGGGCCUUCUCUUCUCCUACUUCAUCCCUUCCCCGAUAAUGAUCGAUAAAGCUCUAUGUCGUACUCCGGACAUGCUGAGAGGCUCUACAGUUGCCCACCCGUCUGAACUACCUCCCUCGCCCCAUCAAUGGGAGUGACGCUAUCCUCAUCCUAGCAUCCAAUUGUGAAAAUGUCUAGAAUAUUCUCGUUCUCGCCCGGUUGUUGGGUUGCUUCUCUUCCACAUGUGGCAGCCGAGUGGGGUAUGGUUUGCACCUAAUGCAAAUUAAUAACUUAACAUACCUGAAUUUUGAUUCCAGACUAAUCUUCACAAACUAACGUUUCUAAACGUGGUGGUGAAGUGUGUAGGAGUGUGGCUGUCGGGAGAGUAAGGACACGUCAUGAUGGCAACCGUCAAAAAUAAAAGAUUUCGUAUUGUUGGUAAAUACUAAUAAACAAAUUGGGAAGUGUAAAUAGUGAACUGUGCCUCUGUAUAUACCGAGAUGUGAUUGUAUUAAUGAUGCCAUUACAUGCAAUCAGUGCAGUGUUAAUGAACAAGUGAAAAUGUGUGUGACAGUCAUUUGAUAUUUGAUUUGCUUGAAAAUGUGGUAUUAACUCUGACAGGCCUGUUCAGAGAGUAACCGUGUCAAGUGGCAAAAGAAGUGUGUGUUCAUUAGUACUGAUUGAACACUGUAUUCAAACUGUGUGUGUGUGUGUGUGUGUGUGUGUGUGUGUGGGCGCGCGUGCGUGCGCACAUGUGCGCCAGUGGAUUUGUACACAAAAUAAUGGUAUCUGCCUAGUAUCUGGAAGGCAGUUUCAUGGUAAAUCAGUGCAUUUGAUACAAAAUUUGACUGUUAAUUUAUCUACUUAAUAAGGCAUCUAUCUUUAUUUAUGUAUUGUAAAAAUAUUUAGUGGUGAGUUAUCAUAUAUAUCUGAGACUGCAGUGCAUUCAAAUUUUCUGGUGUUUAAAUAGUGAGAUCUGAAAUUGGUUUCUUUCAGUUACUGCAUUGCUUCUUCCUUAUCUGUGUCCUAACUCAUAAAACACUUUCUUGAUAUGUCUGUAGUUCCAGUUGGCUAACACGUUUCCUUGUCUUAUUUCACCUUCAUUAUAGUUGUAGCAUAAAUUUAAGUGCUGCUUAAGUUGUGGGCAUAGCAAGAUGCAUAGUAACUGUUAGUGUAGGAGACUAAGUUAACUGAUGGGGAAAUAUCUGAUACUGAUGUUCAUAAAGUAGUGACACAUCAUUAUUUUUUAAUAUAGGAAAGAGGUUUGCUAAUUGUAAUUUUUGUGUGUUUCAUCUGUUGUGUGAGGACAUUGCGAUGUGAAGAUGUAUAGUAGCUAUUAACAGUAUGUUAUGUUUUUAAUUAUUAUUUUUAGCUAUGAAGCAGAAUAAAAAAAUCUCAUGGCUCUGUUAACUUGUGUUUUGUGUUGGGCUUACAUUUAUGUUUGCAUUUAAUAUUUUCAACAGCAUUAGAAAUAAUGUGUUACGUAGUAAGAUUUCUCUCUCUCUCUCUCUCUCUCUCUCUCUCUCUCUCUCUCUCUCUCUCUGUGUGUGUGUGUGUGUGUGUGUGUGUGUGUGUGUGUGUGUGUUUUGUUGUAGACUUGUGUCUCAAACGGUAUAAAAUUUGCAGGCCUCUGUAGAUCACCGCUUGCCUUCAGGUUGUGUGUUGUCAUUAUUACUCUUGCGUUCUUGCUUGUACAUAAGAUAAGGAGAGCCAGUCAUUGUGACUGACUUGUUUUGUUAUUAUUAAUGUUUAGCUGUAAUACAUCCUGCUAUGCCCUAUUUUAAAGCUCUUAAUGCAAUACACUGCGGAACAUUUUGUUUGCAAUUGUAUCCACCGAUCUCAUAACACCAAUUAGUCAGAUUUUUAUCAGUUUAUUUCUUAGAGCAUUGUUGCUUAGUUGAUGUAUUUGAACUCUCUUAAUGAAUGUUUCCUAUUAUUUUAGUUAUUAGGGUACGAGAGGAUUGAUUUUGUGUUCCUCUGGUCAAUAUUUUAAAGUGUGAGCAUUGUGAGGCUUGAGUGUGAGAGCUUUGUAUUACUUUCAGAUUUAUUGAAAAUGACUUCUUAAACUAGGCGAUAAAAUGUUUCCCUAGUGAACUGACUUGUGUGCAUUUAAUGUAUUACCUACAUUUUAUGGUAGCAGCUGACCACCAAAUUUGAAAAAAAAAAAUAACAUUUGUAACUGAUGUACUGCAUUACAAUAUGUCUAUAAGGAUUACUUCAGAAUAGCAGACUUUUGAUGAGGAAAAUCACUAUAUACACACAUAAAUUGUAAUUUGAAAAGGUAAAGAAGAAUUUUAAAAAUAGGAAAUGUAUGUAUUUGUGUGUUGUAUUAAGAUACAAAGCUUUGUGAACAUUUUUUAAUUAUUUUACAUCCUGUCUUCCACAAAUUACUGAAUUAGCUUGUAUAGAAAAAGUUGCUUACAUAAUGAGUCAUUUCCUUUUCUUUGCUCAUGCAGAAAAAUAUAGUUUUAGGAAACAUGUUACAGUGAAGGCAUUGUAAUUGCAUUAGGUUAAAAAAUGUUCACUAUUGCUACAUUGGUACAGAAAAUGUAUGUGUGUAGCUCUGAGUUGUUUUAGAGCUCAUAUUAAUAUUCUCAGUAAAAUCUUACAGUGCAUCAAAUGUUGAGAUUUAUGUUAAUCCCACAAACUGAGGCCUUACCAAAUACUGUCAGUAUAGUAUAUACAGUAGGUAACAAAUGAACUUGUGUGCUUUCCUGUGUGUAUAUGUCACAAUUACUCAAUGUCUGGAGUGAAGAAGAAAGACUUUUCAUCUGGGUGUUUAUUAUUAUCGCCAAAGUGUGAGUAAGAAAAUAUUCAGCUUAUCUUCUUUAUGUAUUUUAGAAGGUGUAUGGAACUUUGCCCUUUUUUCCCCCCUUCAUGGAUGUAGGUAUGUGCAAAUGUUGUAUUUACUUUAAUUUUCCACCAGUCACUGCCAUUUGUAUCUGGUCUAUGGGUCAUAUUUCCAAUUGCUGGAACAGAGUUGUUCCUGUAUGGAGGGAAUGAAUCAUUCCUUAUAUACAAUAUAAUUAGCAUAUAAGCGAAACUUUAAUGGAGGUUUUCCAGCAAUUUCUGUUGCUGUGUGGCUUGGGAUCAAUCUUUAAUAGCUCACAGCAUUUCUCUGCUUCUCAUUUAACAACUGUGCAUCAUAUGCACAUUGCAUUAUAUCAUUACAGUUAAAGUACACUGGAGAAGUUUUACUUAUUAUGAGUGCAGUGUUAAUGACAAUUAUUGUACGGUGCACUAUUUCAUUAAUGAGGAGAAUUUUAUAAGUAAAGUUGAGUAGAUAAACUGCAAAAGAAUGUAGAUUCACUGUUCCAUAAUUGUAGCUUGAAAUAACACCCCGAAAAGUUUAAAAAAGGAGCCUUAUAUAAAACACUUGCUUUCCUGUAUGUCCAUUUUUACAUCAGUAUGUGUCGGUUUGACAUAGUGACAAAUAUCGUGAAAUAAAAUGUACAUAAUACUAUAGAUUUAAAAAAAAUAAAAAUUUUAAAUCAUUAUAGUAGGGAUGAAAAUCAGGAAAGAAUAAGUAAGGUAGAUGAGUUUAUUUUAACUAACAAUUCUCAGUGUUUAAGUAGCCAUAUUAUAAGACAGUUAUGUCAGGGAAGUUGCUCAUGUCAUUACUGAAAUGUUGACGAUUGUAGUUUUUGUGGUGUAAUACUUUUGCUCAUCUCUGUAAUUGUCACAUUUCACCAAUUGUAUAUCAGGAGUGGUUAUGUAGUGGACAGCACCAGUCUCUUCCUUAAUGUAAAUAUUGUAAAAUACAUUGUCAUUAUAUGUUAUGUGUGUAGGGUGAAGGUUUUUGCAACUUUGCUCUAUAAGAAUCAUCUCACUUAAGUAAUGUUGUACUCUAUUUAUUCUGUGUUCAUGGGAUGGUUCUUACAGACAUAUUUUUUUAAUACUUUAGAUUGACUCUAAUAUAUGGCUACCAUUGCUGUAGUAAAAGAAGUUGCUGAGUUUUGGUAGUGACUUGAAUUUGAAAGGCCAGUUAUUUCAUUAGCUUUGCCUGCAAACUGAUAAAUGUAAUUUAUUGACAGCUGACAAAGUACUAGGAGAACACAGCCCUCCAGUCGUAUGCAACAAGUGACAAUCUGGAAGCUUUGCUGAAUCCUGUAAAAAUAUCUGUAUGUUUACAAUUAACAAACCUGUGCCAGGAUGCACAUAUGGAAAAUUUUUGUAACAUGAAAAUUCCGUUUAAUGGAAAUACAUAUUUGAUAAACCUAUUUACAGUGUUGUGAUAUUCAUUGGAGAAACAUUUAUUGGUCACUAAUUUAAUUAUGACAGAGAAUGACUAGAUGUGUAAUACCUUAAGCAUUAUUUACGGGAUGGAACUUGAAUAUCUUUUGGAACCUUCUCCUACCAUAUGAACCUGUAAUCAUAGUCUGUUAAAAUAAGAUGUGUUAGAUUUGUGCUGCAUCAAGUAUAUUUUGUGAGGACUACAAAGUGAUAGGAAGUAGAUUAUGUGGGUUAUCAUGCCAUUAUCUACAGUGAGAGUUCUCAAUUAUGCUCAAGAGUUUAGUAGACAGAAGGUUUGAAAGUAAACUUGAAAGGUAAUUGUGAAUAUCUGUCAAAUAACUGUCCUCGUAGGAUAAUGUGUCCUCACUGUAGGCAUUGGGGGUCUGUGGGCAUGUAAUAAAAUAUAUGCUGUGUGAAUGGGAAAUAUUGUGGAAACUGAAGACAUAUUUAUGUAAACUGAAAAUAAAAUAAUUGUUGUUUUCAGGAGUUCAAGAAAUUCUUCUGAAACGAUAUAAAUAACUUAGAAAAGGGAUAAAGAUGAUACUUUGACACGUACUUAGUGUGUGGAAUGCAGUUUACAGUAACCUGUAUUUACUUAUUAUUGAAAGGAGAUUUGACUAGGAAUUACGUUAAAAAUUUAUUUAAGAAAAAUUUGCGCAAUAUUUUCAUAAUUUCCCUGUAUUAUACUGUAAGGGAUUUAGAUUCUUUAAAGUAGAUAUAGUCUUAAUGUGAAUAGUUAUGGUUCACAGUGAACAAAAACAGGAGAAGUGAUUCAGCAUAUUAGACUUACUGACACAUACAUAAAUAAAGACACCAUCUUCAGUCAUUCCUGUUUAUUUACAAUGUUAGAACUAAGAUAAAUAGAGUAUUCUUUGUUCGAGAGGUGCAGUAAAGUGAAUGUAGUAUUGUAUCAAAGCUCCCAGUUCAUCACUUGUAAGGAGGGAACACAAUUUUGAGACACUAGUUUGACUGAAGAGCAACAUAGUUUUCUAUAAUGGCUAGUAUUAACUGUUUUGCUGACAAUAUUUGUGUAAAAUUAAAGAAAAUCAUAUAUGCAGGUUUACUUGCACUCUGUAUGCAUUUCAAGCUGCAGCAUGUACAAUUGUAGUUGUACGAAUUGUUUGUUUUUGCACUCAUGGUGUAAAUCGGCAGAGACACUGACAGUCAUUAACUUUGUUAUUCCAGAAUUAAUUUUAAACUACAUGCUCAUCCGCACACACGCACAGGCUCUCUCUCUCUCUCUCUCUGACACACACACACACACACACACACACACACAAAGCAGUAAACCAGUUACAUGUUAAGUAGGAGAAACAGUAGUGGAUAUUGCUGUACAGCUGGCCACUGGUCUGGAGGGAUAAGGUACAUUAUUUUAGUAAGGAUUGUGUGUGUGUGUAGUUUUCACAAAACAAACCAGAACACAUGGUAACUGUGUACUGCCUGGCAAAUCAAAAAUGUACUGCAAGCUGAUGUUCUCACCAAUGUAAUUUCAGUUUCGUUGUUCAGUUUUAGCUGUGAUCAUUGUUUGUUUAGCUGUUUUACAUAGUGUAAUUCCACCAUUUUAAUUAAAUUUGUCAUUUGUACAUGGUACUAGAUGCUGGUCAUCACUUUUUCGUUUGUCUUGUAGCUAAAUGAAUAUUGCACGUGCCUUGAAAGUAAAAAUUUGAAAAUAAUCAUCACAAAGAGCAAGUAAUUUGCCAUGUUCUUCUUCAAGAUUUGGUAAAAAAAAAUUUAAUGUCAUAUUUUUUAAAGGUAUUUUUUGUAAAGAUGUGAUGUGCUUGUUCUCUGUGGCUGGUUUUUAGAUGCUGAUCAGUUUGAAAUGGCUGCUUGAUUGGUAGUCAUAAAAGAGCUGUUUUUUCUGCUGCUAGUUAUACUAAUUAAAAAGAAAUACCGUCCAACAUUAUUGUCAAAUCCAGAAGUGUUUUAUGAAUGCUGUCGUGCUGUUCAUAUGUCUCUGUCUGAUUUAUCAACUGACCAACUGAUAUGUUUUACCCUCCAUAAGGAUCUGACUGUGUAAAAUAUAAACCAAUAAUAAAACACCAGAAGCUCUGAUUGCGUUGUGCUGACACAUGUAGUCUGUGUUUCAUAAUGAGUUGUGACGUGUGUGGGCUUAAAUAUUUAAAUAAGACUUAGUAGAUUAAAAGACUGGUGUCUUUGUUAUACCUCAUUAAUUCUGUGUAAUCUUUCAGAAAAAGCACAAGAAAAUUUCAGUGUUUACUGCCAAGUAGGGAGAAAAUAUAAAAAGAAAAUAAACACUUUUGUCUUUGUGUAUACAUUUGUUUUUCUGAUCAUUAUUAAAUCUCCUGCAUCUGAUUAGACUCAGUGUGGAACAUGGCGCGUUUACUUGAAACUGAAUGCAGACAUCCAGUUCGUCUAGAGUGAAAAUUCCAGUUUAAAGUUCCGUUAUAGACUGUCAGUUAAUUUUUGUUCAUUUCCUCCAUGCUUUUAUCGUUCACAGGCAUUAGGAACAAAAUAGAUUUUUUCACUGGGUCUCAAUUUGUUAAACUUUUCUACUUAUGUAAAUAUUCAGUCUAUUACACCCUGGGACAACUCAGAAAUCUGGGGAAAAACCUGAGAAUUUUUUCAUCCGGGAGACAAAUGGGAAAGAUUGAGGACUUUUUUAGAAUUCAGGAAUUUUUUUAGUUAAAUUUUUGUAAUUUUUGACUGGUAAGAUCUGAUACUCUUACUAAGAAUUUUACUUUAGCCUGCUACUGCAGAAUAAUACUGCAGCAAUAAAACAUAAAUGAGACAUUUACAACAACAAAACACAGUGCGCAUGCAAGCAUCUGCAGACAGUAAAGUGUGUCGCAGGUUUGUUUGAGCAGUUGCCAGGAGGCUCGUGCACAAGCGCAGAGAUGAAGUCGUGUUUGAGCAGUGCCUUCUCCCACUACUGGCCAGUUGAAGCGUUGCUGUUAGUCAUAUAAGCAGCAGCAGCAAGCAACUGGAUGCUACUCAGAAAAAUUUUUCUGGCACACCUAAGCUGCCAGGUUUGUGCAUGCACAGAACAAUCUGAGUUGUAAUGGGUGUUGGUAGUCUCCCUGUGAACCAUUAUUACAUUUCAUGAUUCUGCUAUUUUUGUUUACAGCUCUCAUGUCAAUUGAAAAUGAAGUGGAUUUAUGUGGCUGGGAGCUAUCGAGUGAAUUCACAUAAGGACUGAAGACUAAAAUAUGUUGUUAGUAUCAGUUUUCUGAUUUUUCCUCCACGUUAUUGGCGAUUGAGCAUUGCAGAACAAUGGAGUUAUGUUUGUCGGCCUGCUAAAGAAAUUUGGCUUUAUUAAUCUUUUCCACAGAGACAUUUAAUUUAAGUGAAAUGAAGUGUUUCAUUCCACAUGUUGACUAGUUUCAACUGUUUACUGAAUUUUAAUUGCACAUUUUCACCUUCUGGCACAUGUAGCAUUAUGCUGUAAUAAAGAACCAAGCCUGAGAUAAUACAAUACUGGUACUCCAAGAAAAUUGGCAUUGUGAAAACCACAUUGUAAUGCUUUAAUACCAGGUAGAGCCUGUCUUCAGUGUGAAUCUGGACAUAUGAAAGUGCACUUUAAGGAGAAUUAUGUAUUUUGGUAUGGCUUACAGAAUUCUGAUGCUCUUGAAGUACUCUGUGAUGUCCUACUUAUUUUAUGACGUAAUGUACAAUCUCUUAAUGCUAUAUAUAUACAAACAUAUGUAAACCUUCACCUGAAGAUGAAUAAGCAGGCAAAUUUGGUUAGUAGUAUUGAAUAUAGUGUUUUGUUUCAAAUAUAUUGACAGUUCUAGCAGAAUUUUACAUAUCUGCCUUUUGUGAAACACAAUAUUUGUUUGAUAACAAGACAUGUUUCAAGAUUUGUCUGAUACCUCCUCUCGGCAUGACAUUAUUUUUUAAUUUGUGUUUUUAUGUCUUACAUUUACGGAACGCCAUUAUCUGGCAUAUUGUCGACUGGCAGCAUGCUGUGUUUUUAUCAUUGUUACUCCUCAUAUGGCUUUAUAUUUACUUUGAAGUAGAACAUAAAUUGCCAGUUAUACAGUUCUUGGCUUCACAAAUAACCUUGUUAAUUUCUCAUACAGUGUGAAAAAGUAAUGACUGACGGGUUGUUUUGAGUUCUUGUGUAUCUAAAAAAAAAAGUUUUUAUUUUAUUUUUGCAAGAUAUUUGUUUUCCUUCUUACAAGCUUUGUGCAGUGCUCUGUGGAUGUAAAUGUGACUGGAAAGGCUGCUAAAAAGUAUUGCUGAGUACAAAUAAUAAAAAAAAAUGUUUUGUUAAAAUCACCACAUAGCAAAAGAUUAGGGUGCUUUGAUCUGUAGAGUCUAGUUUUGAAGUAAAUGUUGUGGCAAGGA